Molecule: long non-coding RNA, 533 nt
Organism: Papaver somniferum (opium poppy)
Lineage: Eukaryota; Viridiplantae; Streptophyta; Magnoliopsida; Ranunculales; Papaveraceae
Exons: 3
Source: RefSeq, a predicted model, not a curated record
UUCAUCAUUAAAACCCUGAGUUUCUGCAUCAUAACUAAUUCGAAAUCAUUUUUUUCUCCAUGAAAACUCUUCACAUGUUUCCAUCGAUAAAGAUUUGAAUCGACAACUCCGGUUGCAAUCAGAAAUUACCGCUGGUAAAAAAAGAGCAGGAUCAAUUGAUUUUAAAUCAGGUGUUUUAUGACCUUGUAGAUUUAAAUCAAGUCUUUUAAUAUGAGUUGAUGCAUCUUUUAGAUCUAAUGAUUAAACUACUGAACAAGAUGGUGAAGGAGGAGAAAUUAGUAGUCUUACUGAUCAAAAUCUAAGAAAUGGUGGUGAAAAGGAUUUUGGAUAAACAACUCCAACAACUUUCUACGGACUUUGGUCAGCCUUCUGACUUGGAUUAAGAUGAAGAUCGCAUAUAGUUAGUACCAAAUAUACUUAAUCAGGCUAACGAAGGACCAUGAAAGCGCAAGAAUCACCAAUAUGAGCUUUCAAUUACAAGAUUUAUUUUCAUUUGUAUCUUGUGCGCUUAAAAAAGUUAACCAACUAUAAUA